RNAcentral lists this ribosomal RNA (236 nucleotides) under uncultured Staphylococcus sp. RNAcentral's name for it is "partial 16S ribosomal RNA". It matches the Rfam family "Bacterial small subunit ribosomal RNA", at positions 102 to 334 of the family's 1533-position model. Lineage: Bacteria; Bacillati; Bacillota; Bacilli; Caryophanales; Staphylococcaceae. The record is from RNAcentral.
ACGGGUGAGUAACACGUGGAUAACCUACCUAUAAGACUGGGAUAACUUCGGGAAACCGGAGCUAAUACCGGAUAAUAUUUUGAACCGCAUGGUUCAAAAGUGAAAGACGGUCUUGCUGUCACUUAUAGAUGGAUCCGCGCUGCAUUAGCUAGUUGGUAAGGUAACGGCUUACCAAGGCAACGAUGCAUAGCCGACCUGAGAGGGUGAUCGGCACACUGGAACUGAGACACGGUCAG